Echinostoma caproni is the source of this 82-nucleotide non-coding RNA. Lineage: Eukaryota; Metazoa; Platyhelminthes; Trematoda; Plagiorchiida; Echinostomatidae. The record is from Rfam.
GGCCUCGUAGCUCAGCUGGUAGAGCAUGAGCCUACAAAGCGUAAGCGGCGUCCAUGUGUGGGUUCGAAUCCCACCGAGGUUA